GACUGAACCUAAGAUGUAGUACCAGCUCUGACUUAACCCCAGCCAAAGGGCUGGGGCCUUGUAAGUAAAAUGAACAUUUAGCCUUUUGUGUAACAUGUAGCAACCUUUUGUAAGUAAUAUGUUGUAGUUUUGUAUUGUAUCAUAAUUGUAGUAAAUUGACAUUCUCCUAGCAUCUGUUUAUUUGUUAUAGUUAUAUUAAAUAUACAUUUAAUAUUACAACGUUUUGUGUAUUUUCUAUCCACAUAUUCGACCAUAAUACCAUGAAUUAUAAAAAUAUUAAUGUUCCGAAUUGCUUACUUAUUAUGUAUUAAGAGAUUAAUAUUCAUAUUUAGGUCACGACCACAACACCCUCAUUAAAGUAGUUUCCUGUUUUACCCUCAAGACGGAGCUUAGUCUUGUGUUUGGGGGGAUUACUACUUGGAAGUAUUUAUUUUGCCUGUUUUAGCUGUGGAAGGAGUUUGGCUGAUUAUUCGUGGAUUUACCACAUUCCCUUGCCCUCCGUUCAGGAGUUUGGCGGUCUGCUGUAUAGAGGCUGUGUCUCUAAAAUAUAAAGCUCAGUGUUAGUGAUGUAUAAGUACAUAUAAUAAUAUAAAGUGCAGUCAACAACAACAACAACAACAACGUGCACUGAUACAAUAGGGUACAAUAAAAUACAAAAACAAUAUUUACAAAAUUUAACAUAGAACAGGUAGGAAAUAUAUAAUCAACCAUGACAUGUGCAUUCUGUUUUGAGAUAUGUAGAGAAGGAUCUCUUAAAGGACUUUAGACCUAUGGUCGUUCCAUAAUUGUGGUGCUCUGUAGGAAAAGGAGGAUCAAGCUUUCUUGGUGGGAACAGCAUUCUUCUCAUGUAGGGUGUGUAACGGACCAUUUCAGCACACAAGGGGUUAAAACCAUUUAGGCGAUCGUCCCCUUCCAGAGACACAGGCACAGCUACUGCAGAACACCAAUCCGCCGAACAGGAAACCAUACGAAUGCUGUAAACAGCCGAAUAGGAAAAACCAUACGAAUAGGUUUACACUCCUAGCAGUCGAACUGGAACAGCAUACAAUAAAUCCCCCCAAGAACGAGACAAAGCUCCGUGUUGAGGGUCAAGCAGUGAACAGACAGAGCUGUGGGUUUAUUGUGCUUAUGUACACAUUCUUACACAUUAGUACCACCCACAGGGUUUUGGAACACAACCAAUAAACACAUACAAUACACUCAGACACUCCCACACAAAUUCCUCCCCUCUGCAUGUGAUUCAAUUACCUUACACAAUGGGUAAUGUAAUUUAGCACAAGCACAGAAAUACAAUUUUUCCACAUUAUUCAUAACUUGAAAAGUAUGCAUCACAUUCACAUAAAACUUACAUUUUCAGAAUCAGCAUACUCCAAAUACAAACCGGAAGCAUGGCUUUUCUGCUCAAAACCAGUUCCGCAGAGUCUUCUAUCCUGGAGAUAAUUGGAAAGUAAUCCAAUUAUCUCCAAAGACAGAGGCAAAACUCCAUUGAACACAUGGCAGCAAAAAGACCGUAAAAUACAAUAAAAUACACAAGGUUACAUUUAUGACAUAAAAUACAGACAUGCAACAUAUGCCCAGAUAGCUUAGGUUUGAGCGCACAUUAUUACUGAAUGUCACUCAGAGCACACACAUACAGUUCAAUUGCCAUGGAGCCAAAGUCUUUCCCAUAGUCUUUCAUUAUACGAAUGGGCUCCAUGGCAUAGCUAUCUGGGGUAUCACUGCUCUAACAGGGCAAGCACCAAAUUACCCGGCUUUCUUGUCUUUGCAGGGGAAAAUCAAGCCUUUUAACAUGGGGCCAUAAUCCAAAGGCAACAGGCGAGCAACCAGGCUCCUCCAAUGCAAUGUGGCGAGAUUGCUCUCGUCACAGGGUGCUUCCCAGAAAAGAUCUUAAACACAAGGCUGGAGAGAUG
Molecule: long non-coding RNA, 1910 nt
Filed under: Pelobates cultripes (western spadefoot toad)
Lineage: Eukaryota; Metazoa; Chordata; Amphibia; Anura; Pelobatidae
Source: RNAcentral